GGAACUGCUGAGUCACGGCCCGAACCUCUGAUUGAUCACCUGAGGUGAGCCAUGAGUCAGCCAGAGGAGCACAGGUGAAGGCAAUUUACCUGUGCUGCUGGAAGGGGUGGAGCCAGGCUCCUAGACCUAUUUAAGAUCUGGCUACCAGUGGGGAAGGAUCUUGUCUGGAGAUCCCCUCUUCUGGUGUUUUUUGUAGGUGAGCCUAGCAUACUGAAGAUGCAUGAUGGAAAUAUUUUCAAGGAGAGAAAAUCUUCCCUUUCUGAAACUUUGUAUCUGACUGAAAUUGCAACAGUUAAGAAACGACAAACAACUUCCUCAGUUUGCUGCACAACCAUCAGUGUAACAUGGGGCUCUUCAGGAACCAAGCAAUGCUUGUGGAAGUUCAGAAAAAGCUGCUAAAAUGAGGAACCUGUGGAAUUUCCAUCUGCAAAUGUACAUUU
Tympanuchus pallidicinctus (lesser prairie-chicken) is the source of this 440-nucleotide long non-coding RNA. RefSeq lists it as uncharacterized. The transcript has 3 exons. The record is from RefSeq and is a predicted model, not a curated record. NCBI's taxonomy places the organism in Eukaryota, Metazoa, Chordata, Aves, Galliformes, Phasianidae.